Molecule: ribosomal RNA, 353 nt
Filed under: uncultured bacterium
Lineage: Bacteria
Description: bacterial SSU rRNA
Rfam family: Bacterial small subunit ribosomal RNA
Source: RNAcentral
ACUCCUACGGGAGGCAGCAGUGAGGAAUAUUGGUCAAUGGACGCAAGUCUGAACCAGCCAUGUCGCGUGCAGGAAGACUGCCCCUAUGGGUUGUAAACUGCUUUUUAUACGGGAAGAAAUAUAGCUACGUGUAGUUAUUUUGCCGGUACCGUAUGAAUAAGCAUCGGCUAACUCCGUGCCAGCAGCCGCGGUAAUACGGAGGAUGCGAGCGUUAUCCGGAUUCAUUGGGUUUUAAAGGGUGCGUAGGCGGAAGUAUAAGUCAGGGUGAAGUUUGUGGCUCAACCAUAAAAUUGCCUUUGAUACUGUAUUUCUUGAGUACAUUUGAGGUAGGCGGAAUGUGUUGUGUAGCGGUG